GUUAGACUCUGAUGUAGAAAUCUCAUUAGGCAAUGAUUUGUCUGAAUCAAAGCUCUGAGGCAUAUCAGAAGAAUCAAAAUUCAAUCUGCUUCUUACAUGAUCCCUCUUACUUGCCUUGUCUGAAUUCAUUUUAACAGGUGAAAUACAAUGACUACUCUCUAUAUAAGCCAUUUGUUUUGCAGGGCUAACCAUAACUCUCUUGGUUGAAAUUACAGUGUAACAAGUAGAUGUACCCUCUACGUUGCUAGGUGCAGCCUGAGAAAUCUCAGGAGGGGAUAUAUUUGUAUUGCUGUGACUGGAAUUUGUUCUCGGAGGCGUCUUUGGAACUUUUGAAUUGGUUGGGAUAGAAGUUCGAGCCGGAUUGAAUAAGCAUUUCACAACACUGGAUCCUUGAACCUGUGUUCCACUUGGUACACAGUUCACAGCCGAUGAUUGAGUUGCAGAAGAAGGGUGAUAAACUACUUGAUGAUUGACUACUUUGUUUGAUUUUGGCAGUGUGUCUUGACCUGAGAGAAUUUUCUUGCUGGUAGUGGAUGAUCUACCACGAGGUCUUUUUGCAAUUGAAGGUACAUGCUCC
This 577-nucleotide long non-coding RNA is filed under the name Medicago truncatula (barrel medic). RNAcentral describes it as "lncRNA gene20954". The record is from RNAcentral. Lineage: Eukaryota; Viridiplantae; Streptophyta; Magnoliopsida; Fabales; Fabaceae.